Molecule: ribosomal RNA, 1135 nt
Filed under: Vibrio cholerae
Lineage: Bacteria; Pseudomonadati; Pseudomonadota; Gammaproteobacteria; Vibrionales; Vibrionaceae
Description: partial 23S ribosomal RNA
Rfam family: Bacterial large subunit ribosomal RNA
Source: RNAcentral
GGUUAAGUGACUAAGCGUACACGGUGGAUGCCUGGGCAGUCAGAGGCGAUGAAGGACGUACUAACUUGCGAUAAGCGCAGAUAAGGCAGUAAGAGCCGUUUGAGUCUGCGAUUUCCGAAUGGGGAAACCCAACUGCAUAAGCAGUUACUGUUAACUGAAUACAUAGGUUAACAGAGCAAACCGGGGGAACUGAAACAUCUAAGUACCCCGAGGAGAAGAAAUCAACCGAGAUUCCGGUAGUAGCGGCGAGCGAACCUGGAUUAGCCCUUAAGCACUCGGUGAAGUAGGUGAACAAGCUGGAAAGCUUGGCGAUACAGGGUGAUAGCCCCGUAACCGACGCUUCAUCGAGCGUGAAAUCGAGUAGGGCGGGACACGUGAUAUCCUGUCUGAAUAUGGGGGGACCAUCCUCCAAGGCUAAAUACUCCUGACUGACCGAUAGUGAACCAGUACCGUGAGGGAAAGGCGAAAAGAACCCCUGUGAGGGGAGUGAAAUAGAACCUGAAACCGUGUACGUACAAGCAGUAGGAGCACCUUCGUGGUGUGACUGCGUACCUUUUGUAUAAUGGGUCAGCGACUUAUAUUCAGUGGCAAGGUUAACCGUAUAGGGGAGCCGUAGCGAAAGCGAGUCUUAACUGGGCGCUCAGUCUCUGGAUAUAGACCCGAAACCGGGUGAUCUAGCCAUGGGCAGGUUGAAGGUUGAGUAACAUCAACUGGAGGACCGAACCGACUAAUGUUGAAAAAUUAGCGGAUGACUUGUGGCUAGGGGUGAAAGGCCAAUCAAACUCGGAGAUAGCUGGUUCUCCCCGAAAGCUAUUUAGGUAGCGCCUCGGACGAAUACUACUGGGGGUAGAGCACUGUUAAGGCUAGGGGGUCAUCCCGACUUACCAACCCUUUGCAAACUCCGAAUACCAGUAAGUACUAUCCGGGAGACACACGGCGGGUGCUAACGUCCGUCGUGGAGAGGGAAACAACCCAGACCGCCAGCUAAGGUCCCAAAGUAUUGCUAAGUGGGAAACGAUGUGGGAAGGCUCAGACAGCUAGGAUGUUGGCUUAGAAGCAGCCAUCAUUUAAAGAAAGCGUAAUAGCUCACUAGUCGAGUCGGCCUGCGCGGAAGAUGUAACGGGGCUAAGCAAUA